CAAAAGUUAAGACUAUGAAUCUCUGUUAAAAAAUGAAGUUUGUCAAAUGUUUUUUUACACUGACUUAUGCUGAAAUAGUUCAGCAUAUAAAACCCUUUUCUUUGGAUCUCAUGGAAACACAGUUAUCUUCUGAAUUAUCUUCUUACAGGUCAGUGUUUGCCAAAUGAUAGGGUCACAGAUGAACCUUUCUGUAAGUCUGAACCUGAAGUGUCACAUACUUUCCAUCACCAUGAGAAUAACGAUCGCACAUGGAAAUGAUACUCUUGUGUUUGUUUUACUGUCAGAAACCCGUGAUCUCCACCAUCACUCCCAAAGUUGUGUCUUUCCACGGCAGAAACAACGCAGUGUUGUCUGGUAGUAACCUCAGUUCUGUGACUAGAUUGAGGAUCCAGGCAGAUCUUGACUGCACACCACAAGAGUGAGUUACCUCAUGGGUAACUGAGACAAUGAACUGAAACUAAGUGGCUGUUAAGUCAAGACUUUGCUGGCAUUGCUGCUCAGUAAAGCUGAGAAACUUCCUCAUGUAAAAGUGAUCAUGCUCCACAGACACAUUCACGUGUAUAUGGUUCACCCAAACAGAUUGUAAACUUGUAGAGCAAAUCAAAAACGUUACUGUCAAAGAAGCAGAAGCUGAAAUAGGGCUGGGCAAUAUGGCCUCAAAUCAGUAUCACGAUAUAUUAAGCAGUUCACCCAGAUAAUGAUAAAUGGACGAUAACAACUCCACGAGCUGCUCACCCCCUUCCACAUUAACUGCCUCUACUUCAGCCACCGCUCUAGCUGCUACAACUUUUGAACUGUUCUCUUUGUCCUUCUUUUUUUACGGACUGGAUGGGGUGGAGUCACGUCUCUGACGUAGAACAGCGUUUUAAAGGGACAUGAGACCAUAGCCUACCUACACACGUCCAAAAACAACUUUUAUUUAUUUAUUUUUUUGACACAGAAUAUAUCCAUAUAGGUAAAAUGACGUCGGUUACUGUCAUAAAUUUCAGUAUUGGUAAAUUUUCGGUUCAUCGCCCAGCCCUAACCUGAAAUUUCAGCGGCAAAAAUUGAGUUGUAAAGUUAGCGGCGGUGUAAAUUUUUCUUUGCAGUUUCUCAAAUGGUUCUUUAGGCUACAUGGACAUCAACUUGCAACCAGAAGAGAGCGUGUAUCUACUUAUGAAUUUGCGAAAUUGUAAGCAAAUUUUAAAUAGUUUAAAACUAUCUGAAUGAUGUGCUUUAAAGUCGUUAAAGUAUUGCCAGGGUUUGAGAUGCACACAUAUUAUUCCUGCUGUGUUGAUUGCAUUCCACCUAUUGUCUUUUGACUUGUCCUUAGUUAUUUUGUAAUGACUAUGAACAGGUAUCUGGAUACCAAAACAGAAUAAAACUGUUUCUCUCUGUUUUUUACCUCAUGUGGUCAGGAUUCCUGUUCGGAGCAACACGGGUAAAAAUCUGACGUUCCACAUUCCCAGUGCAGAAAACAAAGGUGUGGUCAAAGUCUGCGCCCUCCUCCCAGAUGGUAGUUGUCACGGCAGUGCCACUAUAACCUACCGUUCAGCACCAUCCUGCACCAAUGUUUCACCCAACAGCACCUGGAACAGGUAAAAGUGUGUGAGAGAAAUGCAAAAGAGAUCAACUGCACACAUACAGACUUCUCCUGAUACAAGUUAUGACUGAUGUACACAUUUAAUCUGUUUAGAAACCUGUGUUAAUGACAGUUUUCUUAACUUAAGACCAAGUGCUUGAUUUUGAAUACAUAACAUUACAGCAGUGUGGCUAAAGGGGAAGCUCUAAUUUUGACACCUUUGCCACAUUGGUAAACAGUUUGAAAAACUUCAGGAGCUUUACCUCUUUGCACUCAAACACUCAGUUGAGAGGUUCAAAUAUAUUGUCUUAAACUGUCCUUUUUUGACCUGAUGACCAGGGCUGCGUCAGGAACUUUAGUGGCGACUGAUUCAAGGGAAACAGGGUUAGUAACUUAGGAACGAUGACAGGUUGAGGGUCAUCUUAUGGGGAAAGAGCCACUUCCCAGAAGUGACUGAUGACACCAUUAGACUACUUCCUGUUAAGCUGCAGCAGCUAAAAGUUCCACUUCUGUCUUUAUUUUUGUACUUUAACAAGAAGCAGUGUUUAAAAAUCGGCAGCUUAGGCUAAUGAGGUUUUUAGGACAAUCUUGAACAAAGAAAAGAAAACACUCCAACAGCCACCGGCAUUCAUUAAUUAGCAUGAUUUGGUGCUUUUUGGGGAGCAGGGUUGUAAGGGUAUCUGCUGUAUGUCAUGGGGCACCAGCUCACAGAAGACCUGCAUCAAAGCAGCAAAGGCCAUUUUGUCUCAUUUUAAUCAACCAAACUGGUUCUAGCCUAUCAAAAGUCAUAGUGAGCCAUUUAUUUAAUGUGGACAAUCUGGGCAGUCCCUGUGCAGCCUGGGGGUUUUGAAAUCCUUGAUUACCACAGAGUAGGGUUCAUUUAAACAUCAUAAGGAACCAUCAAUCAUAGGGGGUCUGGUCGGGGGUGGAGGGCUGAUCACAUGCUGCACAUGCAAGACGGGAAAAAGUAAAGAAUUACCGUUAAGGUUUCUCUAGAGAAAAAUAGGACAACAGAUGAGUCCUCAGAGGAUCUCAUCUCUUAAAUACCUUUAGUGCCAAAUUAAAUAUUCCUCAGCUAAAAUGUUUGUAGAUUAUUUCUCACUCUAAUUAUUUUUAUAACAUUAAACUCUGCCUGACAUUUAUGACAAAAUUGCAUGUUCAAAAAUGCAAACCCUCCACUGUACAUGCUUAUUUGAUUGUUGCUCUGUGUCCUGUAGUGGGAAAAGGACGAUCACAGUCCAUGGAUCCCACCUGGAGUUUGUGGAAGCUGUCAAACACAGUGGAGUCCUGCAGGAGGUCAGACUUCCAGAGAACAAUAUCUAUAAGGUAGGUCUUUGGACACAAACAACAUCCCAUUUUAUUUUACUACUUUAUUUAUAUCUUGUCACCUUAUAGGCUACCAUGGUGCAUUAUACUGCAGUACACCAACCAAUGAGCAGAACCAGGGUUGUUCAAAGGAUUACUUCUCCUACAUAUCAUAUGUAUCAGUGUUUUUUAGACUGUUUUGAUUCACAGUUACACUUAAUGCAACUUCUAUUUUUACAAGCAGAGGCAAAUGUUAAUAACUUUGUUUGGACUGCACAGAAAGAACAGACACUUUGAUGAAUACAUUCACAGAUUCAGCUACUUUAACCGCAUUAAAAAGGGGGAAAAAAUGCACAUUUCAUGCACUUGUUUUUUUUAUGUUUAUACUAUCAUACAUGAUCGCAACUUAAUGCAUCAGAUUGAUAAGCAGCUGAUAAAUUCUAACUGUGUCUUUGCCUUGCCUGUCUGCUCUCUGACAUCUCUUUGUUUUAUCUCUUGUUUUAUCUGGGGAGUAGGUAGGAGGUUAAGUGUACGGUCUAGUACUGCAGGGGCUCGAGUCCAAAGAGGCUUCUGCCUUCCUGUCUACUCUUUAACAUCUCUUUAGAUAUGUGUCACUCUGUCCCUUAUUUUUCUUCUCUAUUAUGGUGCAUGGUUACAGCGAAAGGUGAGAGAUUGUAUCGAGAGGAGUGGCUCUGGGACACCCAAGCUAGCUGUUAAGCCUCCCUCAGGUGUCAUAGGCCUCACUUCAGAGCUUACCUGAUAACCUCUGUGAGGUUUUGGCUCAUGCAGCCCAUGUCUAUUAUUAAAUCUAUUACAAUUAUCCAUGUUCACCAAGAGAGGGAUCAGCUGUAUCUACACACAUUCAUCUGUCCAUUCAAUAUAGAGGUGUAUCACAUAAAAUCAUCUGUUAUGUCUUCUUUGCCAUUUUAUUUAUUUUAUGUUUCAGUGGAAGAUAUUGUUAUUUAACAUUAAUUAUUUAUGCUUUUAUUGUAUAAUGCUCUACAGUCAUAAUAUCACUUAAUUAGGAAGCUUCAAUCCAAAUGUAACACUGUAGAUUUCUCCUCAUGUUUUUGACAGGAUCUCAAGAAUCUCACCUACGACUCACCUGCAGCUGAAAAUGCUCAAGGGACUUUUUCCAGCACUUUGACCCUGAAAGUAGCCAAUGAGAGCUUGAGCUGUCCCACAAAAAUAACCUACUACCCAGACCCUGAGUUUACAAGCUUCACGUCCACAAAGACAGGGGACAGUGUCCACAUCACUAUACAGGUAAUGCAAGAUUUUCCAGCACACAUGCACAAUGAGGAGAUGAAACUUGAAUAUCAGUGAUUUUUUUCUGUUCUCCUUUCAGAAAAAGGCAGACAAACUCAAUAUGAGCCCUGAAGAGUUAUCAGUGUGGGGUAUUCAUGAAGGACAAAAAUACCCCUGCGUAAUGGAAGAGAAAGGAACCAGUGGCAACACCGAGUAUUUCAUCUGUGAGAUUAAAAUUCCAAGCAUCAAAGAUUUUCAAGAAUUGGAGGUAAGUUUUUAGUCGUGCCACUCCAAAUUAAGUGAUGCUUUUGAUAGAUAAAAUAUACAUGUGUCUCUAAAGCUUUUACAGAAACGCAGACUUCCUUUUUGAAAUCCUUUCUGAUACAGUUUGAUUGUUUCUUUGUCCCAGAUAAAGUAUGGAGACAAAACAGAAACCCUUGAAUCUGCAUCAUGGUCUCCUCUCUUCCUGAUACUGCUUGUCUUACUACUGAUCCCAUUAAUUAUUGUUGGUAAGUACCCUUUUAUCGUUAGAAGGCCGAUUUUGGUCUAAAAGCAGCUUUAGAAACACUGACAAAUCUGGAAAAAAAAACCAAAAACGAUUUGCUUGGUAUUUUAUCUCCCAGUUGUGGUGAUCGUUUACCGAAGCAAACAAAAGAAACUCAAUGCAAAGAUGAACAAGAUCAUGGAAAACCUGGAGCUCGACAUCAGGAAUGACAUCAGACAAGGUCAGUCACAAAAACAUUGAUGAUACGCUGAUGAAACAGCAAAGAUCCUUCCUGUCUGAACAGUCCCGUGCAAAACAAAAAGCUUGGGUUAUAGAAAGGUCAAUGACUCUUGUUUCAAUGUUCAUGAUAUUUCCUCUUGCUGUCCCUCUCCUUCUCUGUUGGCCAUGUGUGCACACAGCGCUGUAGGAUCAUGAGGCCUGACCCAAUCUAGCAUAAAAAUCGUAUCAAAAUAAGAGCAUGAAAAAUAAGCAGACCAAAGUUUUACAGUUUUACAGCUUCAUAGUUAGAUUCAUGAGCUAUUUGUUGACAUUGAGGAGGCUUUUGAGUAGAGUGAUCAUAUUCUGAAUCCCCAAAAAGAGGACAUGACUACCCAGGGGUGGAGUCACAGUGUCGCACGAAGUUAAUUUUGAGAGUUUUCCAGGUUGGAACGAGUAUCUUUUACCUGCUUCUAACUCAGUAAAUCCACGAGACACAAACUCGGAACUUCCAUACAAAAUUUUGUAAACUUCCCCGGACAAGGCCGGACAGCCCGCAAAAAAGAGGACAUGUCCGGGUAAAAGAGGACGUAUAGUCACCCUAUUUUUGAGGCGAAAAACACAAGUUUCUAUUCAUGACAUUUCCAUCAACAUCUGCUGUAUAUAGUUUUUCAGCUACUUAUCAGAUGUUAGCAUGCUGUCAUGCUAAGAUGAUUAACGGCAAUGCA
RNAcentral lists this long non-coding RNA (5542 nucleotides) under Xyrichtys novacula (pearly razorfish). The record is from RNAcentral. Lineage: Eukaryota; Metazoa; Chordata; Actinopteri; Labriformes; Labridae.